Molecule: ribosomal RNA, 725 nt
Filed under: Pseudomonas sp. PDD-57b-1
Lineage: Bacteria; Pseudomonadati; Pseudomonadota; Gammaproteobacteria; Pseudomonadales; Pseudomonadaceae
Description: bacterial SSU rRNA
Rfam family: Bacterial small subunit ribosomal RNA
Source: RNAcentral
CACAUGCAGUCGAGCGGCAGCACGGGUACUUGUACCUGGUGGCGAGCGGCGGACGGGUGAGUAAUGCCUAGGAAUCUGCCUGGUAGUGGGGGAUAACGCUCGGAAACGGACGCUAAUACCGCAUACGUCCUACGGGAGAAAGCAGGGGACCUUCGGGCCUUGCGCUAUCAGAUGAGCCUAGGUCGGAUUAGCUAGUUGGUGAGGUAAUGGCUCACCAAGGCGACGAUCCGUAACUGGUCUGAGAGGAUGAUCAGUCACACUGGAACUGAGACACGGUCCAGACUCCUACGGGAGGCAGCAGUGGGGAAUAUUGGACAAUGGGCGAAAGCCUGAUCCAGCCAUGCCGCGUGUGUGAAGAAGGUCUUCGGAUUGUAAAGCACUUUAAGUUGGGAGGAAGGGCAGUUACCUAAUACGUGAUUGUUUUGACGUUACCGACAGAAUAAGCACCGGCUAACUCUGUGCCAGCAGCCGCGGUAAUACAGAGGGUGCAAGCGUUAAUCGGAAUUACUGGGCGUAAAGCGCGCGUAGGUGGUUUGUUAAGUUGAAUGUGAAAUCCCCGGGCUCAACCUGGGAACUGCAUCCAAAACUGGCAAGCUAGAGUAUGGUAGAGGGUGGUGGAAUUUCCUGUGUAGCGGUGAAAUGCGUAAAUAUAGGAAGGAACACCAGUGGCGAAAGCGACCACCUGGACUGAUACUGACACUGAGGUGCGAAAGCGUGGGGAGCAA